RNAcentral lists this ribosomal RNA (478 nucleotides) under uncultured bacterium. Its description in RNAcentral is "partial 16S ribosomal RNA". It matches the Rfam family "Bacterial small subunit ribosomal RNA", at positions 28 to 507 of the family's 1533-position model. The record is from RNAcentral.
GACGAACGCUGGCGGCGUGCUUAACACAUGCAGGUCGAACGGGAUUUAGUAGACAGAAGCCUCGGCUAAAGAUUACUAAUGAGAGUGGCGAACGGGUGAGUAACGCGUGAGCAACCUGCCUAUGACAGUGGGAUAGCCUCGGGAAACCGGGAUUAAUACCGCAUAAAAUCGUAGAAACACAUGUUUUAACGGUCAAAGAUUUAUCGGUCAUAGAUGGGCUCGCGUCUGAUUAGCUAGUUGGUGAGAUAACAGCCCACCAAGGCGACGAUCAGUAGCCGGUCUGAGAGGAUGAACGGCCACAUUGGAACUGAGACACGGUCCAAACUCCUACGGGAAGCAGCAGUGGGGAAUAUUGCACAAUGGGGGAAACCCUGAUGCAGCGACGCCGCGUGAACGAAGAAGGUAUUCGUAUCGUAAAGUUCUGUCCUAUGGGAAGAUAAUGACAGUACCAUAGAAGAAAGCUCCGGCUAAAUACGUG